Struthio camelus australis is the source of this 855-nucleotide long non-coding RNA. RefSeq lists it as uncharacterized. The record is from RefSeq and is a predicted model, not a curated record. Lineage: Eukaryota; Metazoa; Chordata; Aves; Struthioniformes; Struthionidae.
GCAGGCGUGAAAUUGCCUCCUGCUUUGUUGCUGCACCGCAUACCCUACUUCUGAUGCAGAAAAAAUAUUCCUAGCACCCACAUCUCUGGUUACCUCUGGGGUGAGGCAGCGAUUUGAGUUUCCUACCCUGGCAACUCAGAGCAGCCAUGAAUGAGAUGCGGAAGCAGCUUCUGACUAGAGCAUGAAAGCAAAAGCUCUUUUCAUGUCCCACGGAAGAGCACACGAGCCCCUGAAUCCGUCGACCUAAAGGGCUGCAGAUAGCAAAAAGGUGUUUCCCGCUUAUCAGUAUUGGCAGUAGCGGAGCGAAAGACUUCAUCGUUCGGAGCCAGGAAAGGAAGAGGAAAAUACAAAAGUUUCAGCUCACCACUUCUCUAGUCCGCACACAUCGGAUGCAUCCAGAUAGCUUGCAGCGAAAGGGAAAAGAUGAAGAAUUUCCCCAACCUCAAUAUAAAGUCGUACUGAUACCAGCUGCCGUUUGGCUUUGCCAGCACAUUUUGAUUAUCAUCAUGCCUUCGAGAUUUUCUGCAGGGAAGCACGAUUUCGGCUGUUAAAAAGGAAUUCUCUGGAGAGCUGAAGAUCAUAGCGGUCCCACGUCAUACUAUGAAAGGAAUCCAGCUUUUCAUUGUCCCCAGUGAAAGCACUCGGAGGAGUCUCCGGGGGUUCAAUUCAGAAUUGGCAAGCCCGCAAGAGCGUGUGUCCAUCUGCACAGCACAGACACAGAUGAAGGUCUCCGUCACAUACUUGCUCUCUAAUUGGCUGGUAAUAAUAUUAUCAGUGAAUUACAGUGCAUGCCUCAUGUGCAGCACAUUAGGUGGCUGACAUUUCUAUAACAUUUUAAGGUUCUCAGCAAAGUCA